Molecule: non-coding RNA, 45 nt
Filed under: Schistosoma curassoni
Lineage: Eukaryota; Metazoa; Platyhelminthes; Trematoda; Strigeidida; Schistosomatidae
Source: RNAcentral
AUCCAGUUGACGACUCCUAUAUAGGAUGAAACACUUGUCCUGGAU